This 359-nucleotide ribosomal RNA is filed under the name Salmonella enterica. RNAcentral describes it as "bacterial SSU rRNA". It matches the Rfam family "Bacterial small subunit ribosomal RNA", at positions 1 to 356 of the family's 1533-position model. Lineage: Bacteria; Pseudomonadati; Pseudomonadota; Gammaproteobacteria; Enterobacterales; Enterobacteriaceae. The record is from RNAcentral. RNAcentral also lists the same sequence under 2 other names.
AAAUUGAAGAGUUUGAUCAUGGCUCAGAUUGAACGCUGGCGGCAGGCCUAACACAUGCAAGUCGAACGGUAACAGGAAGCAGCUUGCUGCUUUGCUGACGAGUGGCGGACGGGUGAGUAAUGUCUGGGAAACUGCCUGAUGGAGGGGGAUAACUACUGGAAACGGUGGCUAAUACCGCAUAACGUCGCAAGACCAAAGAGGGGGACCUUCGGGCCUCUUGCCAUCAGAUGUGCCCAGAUGGGAUUAGCUUGUUGGUGAGGUAACGGCUCACCAAGGCGACGAUCCCUAGCUGGUCUGAGAGGAUGACCAGCCACACUGGAACUGAGACACGGUCCAGACUCCUACGGGAGGCAGCAGUG